UCCCGCGCUUUAAUUGGUUGGGCCUGCCAGGAGAACGCUUCCUGCGGGUCUGUAACGCGGAGCCCCUGGCUGCGCUGCGAUUGGCUCGCGGGCUGCGGCGACGCAGACGCUAAGCGCUGACGACGAGGGCGGGGAUUGGCCGGCCAGCCCGGCCGGGUGGUGAAGUGUGCAGUUUGGAUUGGCCGCCGAUCUGCGCCGCGCUGGGCGCCCAUUGGUCCGCGCCGCUCGCCGGGCUCAGCUUCAUGUCCAUGGCUACCGGCGAGUGAGUCCUGCGCCACGGUCCGGUCCCGCUAUGUCCCGCCGCGCGCUCGGCCGCCUCUGUCUGCUGCUGCUCUGCCUGCUCGGGGAGGCCACCGCUGGGAGGGAUUUCUAUAAGAUUCUGGGGGUGUCGCGCAGCGCAUCAAUAAAAGAUAUUAAAAAAGCUUAUCGGAAACUAGCCCUGCAGCUUCAUCCAGAUCGCAACCCCGACGAUCCACGCGCACAAGAGAAGUUCCAGGACCUGGGUGCAGCCUAUGAGGUACUGUCAGAUGAGGAAAAGAGAAAGCAGUAUGACACAUAUGGUGAAGAAGGAUUGAAAGACGGGCACCAGAGCUCCCAUGGAGAUAUCUUCUCACACUUUUUUGGGGACUUUGGCUUCAUGUUCGGAGGAAAUCCUCGUCAACAAGACAGGAACAUUCCACGAGGAAGUGACAUCAUUGUGGACCUGGAAGUUACACUGGAAGAAGUAUAUUCAGGAAACUUUGUGGAAGUUGUUAGAAACAAGCCAGUAGCAAGACAAGCACCUGGCAAGCGGAAAUGCAAUUGUCGGCAGGAGAUGAGGACCACCCAGCUUGGCCCUGGGCGUUUCCAGAUGACUCAAGAAGUUGUCUGUGAUGAGUGUCCCAAUGUCAAGCUUGUGAACGAAGAACGAACAUUGGAGGUGGAGAUAGAGCCAGGUGUGAGGGAUGGCAUGGAGUAUCCUUUCAUUGGAGAAGGUGAACCUCAUGUAGAUGGGGAGCCAGGUGACUUGCGUUUCCGCAUAAAAGUUCUCAAACACCCAGUCUUCGAAAGAAGAGGAGAUGACUUAUAUACAAAUGUGACUAUCUCGCUGGUCGAGGCAUUGGUAGGCUUUGAAAUGGAUAUCGCACAUUUAGAUGGGCACAAGAUAUUUUUGCCUUCCAGGUUCAUGUUGCUCGGGAUAAAAUCACAAAACCUGGGGCCAAGCUGUGGAAGAAAGGAGAAGGUCUUCCAAAUUUUGAUAACAACAACAUCAAAGGCUCACUAAUAAUAACCUUUGAUGUAGAAUUCCCCAAAGAGCAGCUAACAGACGAACAACGGGAAGGUCUGCAACAGUUAUUGAAACAAGGAUCGGUGCAGAAGGUGUACAAUGGACUGCAGGGAUAUUAACAUGGGGACAAACUGGACUUGAUUGAAAAUGAAAAAUGAAACCAGUGAUAUUUAUCUGCAGUCUUUCUUGCUGCCUAUUGUGGAAUGAAGAAGAGGGGGGAGGGUAGAGUAAACAAGUCGUAUUUUUUUGUAAAUGGUGCAAGUGCUCAGAUGGUUUAUGGAAAACAUGGCCCUUUGCAGGAUAUAACUGGUGCUGCCUAUAGAGUUCCUUCCAUGUACUGGAGCAGAGAGGAGGCUCCCUGUGCAGAAAAAUGUUGGGGAGGGGGUUUUAAAUUUAGUGCAUAUUGGAAGUUCUGGUUUUUAAAUAUAUUUUGAUGUUACUUUUUUGACCCUCUCAAAGUAUCUUUGUAGUUUCUUCUGCCUCUUGUGUCCCUCCUGCUAAUCUUCCCUGACUACUUAGUCUCUCUUCUGCCUACCUCUCUCUCCCCAUCCCUGUAUAAUAUAACCUAGUUGGUUAUAUUAUGGAGCAGGAGCUAAUUUAUUCUUAGAAAUGAACUGAAUGAGAGCCUGUAAGAACUACAGGUGACUGCUGUUGCUGCAGAGACCUUGGCCCUGUAUAUCAAUCCUAUCCUAAUUCUCAGAUAAUUCUUAAGCUCUCAGUAUUCACACUUUCUUCAAAUGCUGUAAAGACCAAACUCAAUUUCAAACUGGGAAUGAGCCAUCUUCACCCAUCCUCUGCUGUACAUGACCCUGCAAAAUGGCUCAACAGACUCCUUCUGUGACCAGUAUGGAAACAUUUGCCCACCACCUUGUUCACAAAUGCUUGGCUGGAACAAUUUGUGUAUCUCCUGCCUUUCAUCCUCCAUGAGACCAGGCACAGCUGGUACCACUGAAAUAGUUAAUGAAAGUGUGUGGCAAACUGGUUGUGUAUUAAAACUACAGUGGAGGCAUUUCUCCUGGAAGCAACUGUUUUCUGAAGAAGGCUCAGUUGUAAUGAAAAUAAGCUUGUGCCUCUGAGCUGUAAUCCCACAUGGCAGUUAGUAUUAGCCAAAAGCCUUGCAGCCUCUUUCACCUCUUUCAGAGGAAGAGGUCUCUUUUUCUGGGAAAGGCUUCUCUUUUCCCUUCCUGUGCUCACUGAGGAGGAAGUGGAGGCUCUUUUGACUCGGUUUGGAUGUCUUGGUAGGUCUGCCUUCAUGUACUCUUCAUUGCACUUAGGAAGAAGGAGUUGGAAAAAGCCAUGAGGCAGACCUGAGCACACCCGUGGGAAAGUUUGUUCUGUGGUACUUCAUUACAGGCAUGUAACCAGGGUGCAUGGGUAAGAGAAAUUACAAUGAGUCUUUCCCAUGUGUGGGUAACAACUCUUCUUUCUACUCAGGAGCUAGUGCUGUUUGUCUGACACCAACAGGCUACCAAACUAGUUGGGAUCCGCAAAGAGAGGUCCAGUUAGGCUUUUCUCCUUCCAGUUCCCUUUCAGGUGUGCUGGUUUGGCCUAGCCAGCCACUUCCAUUCAAACAACAUUGCUGAGGGUGUCUAGCUGCUCAUGCCGUCAGCCUGUCAGUUCCAUGGAUGAUCCAAAGGGUUGUGGUUCUGUAUUAAUAUGGUAGUAUCUGAUGCACCACUUUGUUGCACAGCUAUAACACCCAUAUAGUAAGGCUUUAAAGCUGCCCAGUUCAACCUUGCCCUCAACAUGAACAGUCAUCACCAUCUCUUGCUUUGGUAGAGAUGCUUUAAAAAUGAGAAGACAUUGUUCCUACCCCAACUUCAAGGGGCAUGUAAUAUACUGGGGGCUGCAGCAAAGCUGUAGCUCUGUGAAGCUGGCAGCGUGUCUGUGAGGCUGUGUAAACUAGGGGCUGAUGCUGUCAUUUCUGCAGUGUUUGGUUCAAGCCUGUGGUAAGACACCUUUGUGUAUAUGAGACAAAAAUUAAAUAUAGCAAGCCAAGAUGUGAGAGGAAAUGGAAAGGAACAAAUUAUGCAGUUUUAUGCUUCUCCAUUUUUCUUAUCUUGGACAAAAGGCUUUCUGUGAAACUUUUUUUCAAGCCUUAAUAAUUAAAAACAAUCCACAUCCUGUUACUGUUUGGGGGCUGGACUCGAUGAUCUUCCGAGGUCCCUUCUAGCCCUAAUGUCUAUGAAAUACUAUCAGGAAAUCUUCCUGGAGGCUGAAAUUUUCUUCCUCUGGACCAGUGAACAAGCAUUAAAAGGACACCUCAUUUACCCAGAAGCAGCCCCUUUUCAUGAGGAUGUUUGGGGUGGUCCUUCAAGGCUCUCCCAGUGGGAACGAACAGACAGGUUUUGUCCACUAAUAGCUCUGCCUGAGUUGAUGCUAAUGUCCAUUUCUGCACUGAGUCGAUGUCUCUCUAACUGAGACUUUGCCUCAGGAUUUUUCAUUAUUCUGCAAGGAAACCUGUCUCCAUGUGCCAGUUUGCCUUUGUCCCCAGUGUGACUUGCUUUUCAUGAUACUGCAGACCCAUUUCUCGUUCCAGGCAGUGCUCUUUGACGUCUCUCUUUUUUUUUUUUUUUUUUUCUUGCCAGUUCCAUCGUGUCUGCAGUGGUCUGUCCAUGACAAGGUGGAUGCAUGAUGUUCAGCAGUCAGAGACAAGCAGUUGGACAGUGAUUUAUUUCAUUUCCUAUGAGUGUUAACUCGCUGUGUGACAGUGACAUUCUCCAGCACAACCACCAGUUCCAACAGAGCUUGCUGUUAGAUGACCUGUUGAUGGUCCAUCCAUUCAAAUAAGAGUUUUAUUUCAACUGUUUUCUGAGAAGCUCCCUUAGUAUCUCUAAGGAUCUGGCUUGCCCCAUCACUGUUCUGGUUUUAGUCUGGUUGCCUAAGGAAAGAUUUUGUAAGUUGCGUCUCAUUUAGAAAUUUCUCGGGUAUUGACCAGGGGCACUAAUCUAUGUGACCAUGGUGGGAUGUGCAAGCUGUUUCAUACUGCCCUGUGUCUUGUUCUAGUGAAGUUUUACCUUCUGGAGUAUGAAUAUUCGGUAAGCCUCCUGGACUUUCCAGUCCAGUCUACCACAAACCUGGCCUUUUCAAUGGAUUCAAAGGACUUGAUCUUUGCUGGCAAAAGGAGAAAAAUCACAGUGUCUCAGCUAUGGACCUGUUGGAGCUCCUUGUAAAUGGAUUUGGACCUGAUCAAGAGCCCUACUUUGUUGAAGGUUCAAGUCUCAGUUUUGGGAGACUUGUAACAUUUUUUCCCUUUCUUGUUGCCUUCUCAUAUUUCGUAACUCCUGAAAGCUGCUUCACUCCAGAGAUGCUGUCAGGAAACCAGUAGAAAGUGGUACAGAGGGAGAAUCCCUGAAUCUCCUUAUCUCAAAUAUGUGCAGGAGUCUUCCCCAUAUCUUGUUUUCCUGUUAGCAGUUGCAUUGGCCAGAAGUGUUAGCCAGUUCAGGAGCCUUAUCCAGCAGCAAUCCUGUAAGCAUUUUUUUUUUUCCCCUCAGAAGAAGUGAACUUUAGACUUGCACCAAGCCAUCCCUAUUACCUGUUCUCAGGUGGAUACAUUCAGUAGCUGGUCAGGCCUAGGGAUUGUUCGUAACAGCUCUGCUUCCUGUGAGCACUCAUCUAGUGAUGCAGGAUUGGAAUAGACGUCACAUCCAGUCCCCUGAGUUUGCAGGCAGUUGCUCCACUACGUGGUCAUUUUGCAGGCAGAGCUGCACAGUGCUACUUUUGAGUGCCAUGGACCAUUACUCCUCAUCAGUAGGCUUUAGUAGGCUUUAUCUCCCACUUCAUAGCAUGCAUAUGGUUCUGGUUGAUUUUUCUCUCUCUCUCUCUCUCUUGUUUUUUCCUUCAUUAAACCCCUUUGUAUGGUAGAGAAGGAGAAAAAGAAAAGUAAGCAAAGCUGCACUCAAAGCAGAGUUAGUUGUUUCUUGGCCUGGUGCUCUAUUUUAAUUUUCCUUCCUUUUUUGUGGAGGUUGGCUGCAUCCCUGCUGCAAUGGAGUUGGGAGUGGGAGGGAGAACAGGGCUUGUUUCCACGACUGCAUUCUUUCUGUGUGCCAGUGUUGUUUCAUGAGCUCCAGCCCAGGGCCUCAAAGCAAAUUGUGGUAACUUCCAAGCAGAGGUGGAAACCUCCUUCCUUUCUCCCUUCCAGAGUGCUCCUGGGGACGGAGGGAGAUCUAGGAUCCCUUCACAUUGGGCUCUGCGCUUAAUGUAAAUCUGCAUUUUUAUUAUGUAUAAUUCAUGCUGUAGGAGAUCACAGAUGCCUGCUUCCUGCUUUGCACGCCCCACUUGAUCUCCUGCUCUGCUUCCUGCCUUUCCUGCCUUAUCUGCCCCACACAUGCGCACGUGCACUACCCAUGCCAGUUGUGGUAUGUGGACCGCCUCUGUUCCACAGCGAGGUUUUGAAAAGGAACGUGGUUGUCCAAGAUGCAUGGAUUCAGGGAGCAGAUUUGUCAUCUUUUUGGCAAGCAGGGUGAAAGCAAAGGCAGCAGUCCUGUAGGGACUUUGAAUGACAGUUCCACAAUCUAAUAGGAAAUAGUACCCACUUUAAGCCAUGUAUCGAGACGCCAGAGUCGAUAUAGCCUGAAUGGCUGUGAAGCCCACACAGAGCACUGUCUUGUAACUUGCCCAAAUUCGGUCUGAUGUUAAAAGCUAUUUCUGCGUGCAGGCCGCGACCUGCCAGCAGGUCAUGUCCAGUAGCACGGGAAAAGCUGCUGCCGCCUGUGCUUGCGCAGAACAAAGGGGUCAGUGUUUUGUGGCUGAUGAGGACCUGAGUGACCAGGAGGAGGGAGGUGCCAGUGUGGGGGUGAGCUGCUAGCUGCUCAGCACUGAUGUAUGUCUGCUGGGCCAAGCCUUGGCUUCCUGCUCAGAGCUCAACACCACCCUCAACACAGAUAUUGGCCACCAGCCAGCUUCCUUCCUCUCCCCAUCCUGCACUUGUCACUGAAGCUGGCUCUGAGGAAGACCUGCUGAAGGCUGGGAAGCAAGAACACAUUAGUGGCUCAUGCAACUCCCUGCUCCUUAGCAGGGGCCCCUUUGACAUUGCAGUGCAGCAAGGUAUUGCACCCUUGCAGUGCCCUGCCCAUGAGCUGGGCUCCAGGGUGCACUCUGGCCACUGGAGCUGGGAUUGAAGUCUGUCCAGUAGAUUUUUAGGGGUGAUUGUGCAGCAGAAAAGGAUCUAGGCAUUCUAGUGGAUCACAAACAAUAAAAGCCAAUAAGGCAAUCUGUUGCCAGGUGGGCAACUCUUGGGGUGUCAAUAAGAGCGAUGCAUGUAAACUUUAAUUACUCUCCUCUGCUUCACACUGAAGUCUCAGUUGGAGGCCUGUGUCUGGUUCACCAUAUUGAAAGACAUAGACAAAUGAAGAGUCCAGAAGGGAGCAGAAAAGAGACAGAGGGUAGGAAAUGUGACCUAUAAGGGAACAUUAAAAGACUGGGUUGGGUUUUUUUAU
Molecule: RNA transcript, 6705 nt
Organism: Alligator sinensis (Chinese alligator)
Lineage: Eukaryota; Metazoa; Chordata; Crocodylia; Alligatoridae
Gene: DNAJB11
Gene name: DnaJ heat shock protein family (Hsp40) member B11
Exons: 10
Source: RefSeq, a predicted model, not a curated record